This is a long non-coding RNA of Alligator mississippiensis (American alligator), 8409 nucleotides long. RefSeq lists it as uncharacterized. Lineage: Eukaryota; Metazoa; Chordata; Crocodylia; Alligatoridae. The transcript is spliced from 2 exons. The record is from RefSeq and is a predicted model, not a curated record.
UACAGCUGUUACUUAUCUUAGUUUCUCAGUGUAAUCAUACCAGAGUUCAGAAAGGACUGUGGCUGUGGAGGAAAAGCAGUUGAGUUAUCUUAGAGACUCCUUUGAUGAUCUCUGUGGAGUGCUGCUGCUAUCAGUCAAGAUGAGAAAGUGAACGAGAGUUUCUGAUGUUUAGAGCCUGCUGAUGGAAAGGUACCUUUUUUGUCUGCAUCUCUCAGCGUGGACCAAUAAAUUAAUGGAUGGUAAUGAUUGAAGCAUUGAAGAAACCAACCAUCAUCUUGCUUUCUUUGACUGGACAUUUAAUAGGCCCUGUGCAUGCAAUACAUCAAGGAUUAUGACAUGCUUUAUUGCUGACAUGUAUAGCAUUACAAUUGUGUAUCUUAAAGAACUGGAUGCUUACAAGUUGAUUUCUGCUCCCCCCCACCCUCCCCCUUCAGAUGGAUGAGCUGACUUGAACUUUUCUUCCAUCCCUCAGAGCAAGCCCAGACCUUUCUAAAACAUUGGUAAAUGAGGAGAUGGAUUGAGUGCAUCUAGUUUACUAACUUAUUUUCUCUUAUGAUUUUUCUCCAAGCCUUAUUAACAACUAACUACCACUUUUCAUGCAAACUUAGACUCUGCAUCCCAAAACUCUCACUGAUGUCUACCCUGUAGAAACUGAGAUUGCAAAACCUAAUCAAGUUUGUCCAUGCCCUGGUUGCUGCUACGUUAGAAUCUGGUAUGCUGCAACAUAAGUAACUCAGUUGGGGGGGGGGGGUACAGCACUGGCUGCACUAAAUGCUAAUUUACUGAAAUCAAACCCAAAAUAGGGGGCUGCCAGAGCUGUUGGGCCUGAUAGGAGACAUCUGCUAUACUUUUUUUUUCUGUUUAUUAUAUGUACUGCUGCAUACAUCAGAGGGACAAGAUGGCUGCUUGGCUAACCCACCUAAUGUUUUGUUUCCCUGUAAGUAUUGGCAGUUGUCAUGGCCAUCGUUAAAAUAUUCAUUAGCCAUGAGUUUUGGGAAGACUCCACAUUACUUCAGGGCUAAGUAUAUUUCUAAUUGGUGGGUUACCUACUUUCAUGAGCAAAGGAAAUCAAUGGGGGAAGCUACACGCUCUCCCUGGAGUGGCAUUUAGUGUUCCAUAUGCAAGUUUCUGUACAUAGCAGCAGAAAUGAACCUAUUUACAGUCCAGAUUUUUCCAGCUACUUUAGUGUUUUGCUUCUCCUGAACACAGCCCAUUGUUGUAUGCAAGUUCUUGUCUCACCAGUGGUCCAUAAGCACAGAGGUGGUCAGCAGCAUUAGGCUGAAAUGAAGCAGAACGCAGGCCAGGGUCUCACCUUAGAGACAAACUGGUUUGGAUGGGCAUGAGCUUUUAUAAGUAAUAUCUUCCUUCAUCAGGUGUUUUGCUUGCCUCCUGUGAACCGGUUCAUUUCUAAGGUGUUAACCUGCCCCAUCUUUAUAGAGUUUCAUGUAAUCGGGCACUGGGAACUAGACUGAACAUGUAUAUAUUUCUCAGAGUGAUUUUUGGUGUUUUUUCAGAUUAUUUUUCAGAGGAGUGAGCUAAUGUUGGAGUUUAGUGAGUCACCUUCCCUCUUGUUAUGAAAAAAGCUGAAAUGGUUAAGAGAAACUUCAGGUUACAGGAAUAUGAGAACUGUCUAUAGGAGAUGCAGCAUUUAAUUAGUACAGUGAUGGAUCACCUCACUAGCAACAAACUAUUGACUGCUGUGGGCACUAAGGCUGUAAAUUUGGGGAAGGGGGAAGCAUAGCAAAAGUCUGUUCUCUAAUAUGAGACUGAUUGGAAUGUCAGGAAGAGCUGAAGGCUUCUAGAACAGACACUUUUCUCAGGAGCUUGUUCCUGUAUUGUCAGCCUAUUGUUUUUUUUGUGCCCUUAGUGAGGGUAGAAUGACAUUUGUGCAGUUUUUUUUAUGGCAAUUGGACCAAACUACCACUAUAAUACUCCUGCUAUUUGUGAGACAAACUCAGGCACAUAAGAGACUGAGAAAUUAUAAUCAAUCUUUUAUAGUUAUAUUAUUAGCUUUAUCUGUCAAAGUUGGCAAUCCUUUACACUAAAGUGUGCCAGAUACCCAGGAUUAAUUCUUUGUUCCAACAGCAUUACUGUAGACCAAUAACUCUUUCUCUGGUCAGUCACCUUUCUGGCUAGGGACAGACAUUCAAAAAGCCUGAGCCUGAAUUGAUUCAAUCUUUGCAGGUUAGUCUAAGCUGCACAGAUUGAACUGAUUAACAAAUGGAGAGAGAUUCACUUUUGAAUCAGGAAAUGCAGCCACCUGCUUGCAGUACCUCAAGCCAGAAAUCAGGGGGUGCUAGAGCGCACCUGCUAGCCACUGCCAAAGGGGAGGGGAGGCAAGCCCUCUAAAAGGUUUUCACCCCUCCCUGCUGGAGCAGAGGGGGUAUGGCCAGGCACCAGCCCAGGGCUAGCCUGCUGGAGGAUGGGGGGGCUUAAAUCCACAGGGGUGACAGCCAGGCUAGGUACACUCAGUCAAAAAGUCUGCAGCUGAAUCGAUUCGGUCUUUUCAAGUUAAUCUAAGAUGCACACAUUAAAUUGAAAUGGAAUUGAACAGACGUUUAUCUUUGAGUCAGGAAAUGCUGCCACAUGCUUGCAGUGACACAGGCCAGAAGCCAAGGGGCACUAGAGCACUGCUCUCUGGCUGUGUGUUCACUACUUCUUUAUGCUGCCCUCGAGGUCUCUGGGCUUUGUAGUCUACAAUUGCUGCCAGUAGUAAGUUUGAGUGGGGGAAUGGGUGUUUAACCCUCCUCCCUAGCCACAGACCUCAGCUGGGGUUUGCAUGAGGGGGGGCAGUCCCCCUCCACCUCCAGAGACUGGGUCUGCAUCCCCAGCUAGGUUCCCCCCUGCCGCAGCCAGCCUUCCCUGCUCCGGCUAGGGAGCAGAGGGGUGUGGCCAGCCCUGCUCUCUGGACAGCCCAGCCUAGGGCUGCAAAACAUGCUGGGAUGCUGGGGGACUCUGAUUUUUUCCUGAACCAGGAAGGGGUCUGGGACAGAAGUCUUAUAAACCAGUUUGACCCAAAUCAGUUAGUUCUGAUACUACGUCCAACCAGGUUCAUCUUAAACCAGUUUCAGCCAUUUUGAAACCAGUUUAUGUGCAUUGAACAUCUAUUCUGUUACAGUUUUUUAAAUCGGUUUCUGAUCACUUAGACUGGCUUAUGUGUCAUUUCUGUCUCUAGCCAAGCAUAUUUCUUCUCCUCGGUGUCUUCCUGACACCCCAUUUUGCAUCUUGCCUGUGAUUCAAUUUUAUACUGUCUGCAGCCAAAAUUAUUCUUAUUCCAAGCUGUUGGUUUGGUUCCCCCCCCCCUCCCCCCCCCCCAGUUAAAAACCAUCCCUCUGUCAUUCACUGGCAUGCCUUUUCCCAAAUAGCUCUAAAACAUUUUUAAUACCUUAGUUUUAAUCCUACAUAUUUCCUUUUUGAGGAUCAGCUUUUUCACCAUUUUUCUUUCCUUCUGGCCAGAUUAUUUCACUUACAACUGUGAGCUCAGUAAAGAUUUAAACUAUUUGAGACUUGGAUCUAAACUUGGCUAUUGGAUUGUUUGCUUGGAAGGCAAUUUCUGUAAGCUCUGAGACGGAGCUAAGGGAACAUUUGGGUGUGGGGUGGGAGAAAGUGCCAUUUAAAAUUGCUUUAUGCUCUCCCAGUUUUUCAAACACUUGCUUCCUUUUGGCUGAAAAUAGGCAUUUAUUCUUUAAUUUUGAAUUGGGGGGUGGGGAGUAAAUAAUCCAUUUCAUUUAUACAAGUAGGGAAUUGGUUUAAGUGUAGAAGAGAUGAUUUAAGGAAAGAGAACUUUCUAGUACUAAUUACUAAUUGCUAUCUGUCUUAUGAUCAGGUAAUUCUUCUGGCCUUAAGGAAACCUCUGCUUAAAUUUAUAGAAGCUUCCAUAAGCUCUCUUCUUCAUUCCAGUAACUUAUUAGGAAAUAUUUUAAUGCCUUGUUCUGUCUUUUAGGCCCCAUGCAGAAAAGUAAUCAAUAUUGUAUACUGCAAGUCCCAUUGAAUUCAAUAGGGUCAAGCACAUGCUUCAGUAUUUCCCUGAAUUAGUGCUUUGCAUGUGAACUACUAUUAACUAUGUAUGUAUGUGUGUGUGUAUUUGUAUAAGUAUGUAUAAAACAAUAACAGCAGCAUAUUCAUAUUGCCUAGAGACCCUAGCUAAAUCCUGGGGUCCUGACUCUGGUGUUUUCAGGAAAUGCUACUUGAUAAGCAGAAAUGCAUAUUUACUAGGCCAGUGUGGGGAAAAAUAGAAAAUUUACUUUUGUGGCUGCAUACACAUUCUGUAUUUCUGCUUCCUUUUAACAUACGAUACUCAUAUUUAAAGUUCUGAUUUUGCAAGGUACCUAAUUUAAACAACUAUCUAACUGAUAUCAAUGGUGUAACUUAAAUGCAUUUUAACAUUUGGUCUGUCUGUUUGGCUGUCAAAAUGAAAGGAGUAGAAUAUGAAAAUGUAAGCUGUAUUUCUAGAAUGUCCACCAUAGAUCACUUGGUCUGUUUUCAGAUCCUUGGCCAACAAUUUCUGUGGUUUUAAAAUAUUACUUUAAUAUCUCUCUUACUAAACCAAUUAGGGUAGAUUGGAGACUAUAAUCUGUGACUGGACUGUCUCCACAGACUUAACUUAUAAAUAGUGCCUUUGUCUUGAUUAAAUAACUAUGUAAAAUAUUAUAUUCCUAAUUCAUUACCCAAUUCAAAAUAAUCAGAUGGGAAGCAUCUUUAAAUACAUAGAAACCAUUCUAUCAUCUGUCCAGAUGGGAUUAACUUUGUUUCCUAUUUAAGAAAAUACAAAUUCAGAUUAAGUAUGUUACUUCUUCUUUCUUAUUUCUUUUAACAUGUUUUAUUUAAUGUCUUCAAAUGUUUUAGUUUUUACCCAGUUUCAUGGGUCAUGUCCAAAAAUCAUCUGGCAUAAGAUGAUCCUCGGAAUAAGUAGUCAUACUCUAAUUCAUAUAUGCUCCCAGGGGGAACUACUUCUGGCAGACUUGUGUUUUGUUAUUGUUGGUUUGUCAGACUACAGCAAAUGUGUUUUUAGGGCUAAUAGACCAAUCUCUGCAUAAAUUCAUAGUUCCCCAGUUUUUAAAUACUUUUAUUUCUGUAAAACUUGCCAUUUAGUAAGCGGGGGGGGGGGGGGCAGUCAUCUUUUGUAAAGUAUAGCCAGGGAUGGCUCGAUCCUACAAGGGGCGAAGUUGUAUGCCAUUCUUGCACCAUCUUUAACUUCUUGUAAUUCACCUCAAAGAAAGUAAAUGGAGUCUUCAGAACAGUAUCAUUGAAUCCUUUUGCUCAUUUAUAAAAACAAGUAUCAGCUGUUCAGAAAUUCAUUGUUUAGAUGUGGAAUUUGCAGCUAAUAGAUAUGAACAGCUUUGUGAUUCAUUAGCAUGGGGAAGAUUUGUACUCACUCAGAAGCAUUUAUAAGGAGGGUUGUCUUGGAACCUUUUGUAUGACUCUUCAUCUUCAGUUCAGUUACGCUGUUAGAUCAAUGUUAACACUUUUGAGACUCCUCUGGGAUAAUAUGAGUUGUCCCACGGUAGAUAAUGCUUAUGCAUUCUUGUUCUGGGAAAGUAAGUCAUUUUCAGCCUUGUGGGUAAUUUGGUUUUUCCCUCCCCUUCCCUCUCUUUGAACUCUUAACUUUUUGUGGAAUGCAGCAGAAUUAAUGUGUGGCCAGUCUUUCACUGAAAUGAUAUCGCUGUUAUGUAUAUAGUAUUUGAUAUCUUAGCGGUAACCUCAGCCAAAAUAACUAGCUAGAAUAAUGAAACUUUUUAAAUUUUAAAACUUUUUUUUUUCCUAAUGAGAUAAAAGGUCUUAUGCUUCAGGGAUUUAACAUCCUUAUUUAAAUGAUGAAAAGGUUAGCUCAUAGCUGUUUGUUUUAGGAAUUUUUGCACUUUCUUUUGAAGAAUCUGGUGCUGGUGUUUAUCAGACAAGAUAAUGCACUGCACCACACCAUACCUCUGUUGUGGGACAACAAUUUCUCUGUACUUCUAACAGGCUUUUUGACGGUUCCAAAUCCCUUCCUGGUUCAAGUUUAAAUCACAGACCUCCAGCAUCCCAGCAUGUUUUGCAGCCCUGAACUGGGCUGUGCUGUCUGCUCCAGAGAGCAGGGCUGGCCUUGCCCCUCUGUUCCCUAGCUGGAGCAGUGAGACCUGACUGAGGAGGAGGGGAAGGCAAGCCCAGCUGGGGAUGCAGGACCAGAGAGGGGAUUAAACACUCCUUCCCUGCUCAGACUUAUUGCUGACUGCAACCAUGGGCUACAAAUCCCAGAGGCGCCUGGAAGCAGGAAGUGGCAGUGAUAAGCAAUCCUGCAGAGUCCUGCUACUGUGAUUUUUUUUUUAGACUGAAAAUCUCGGAUCUUGCGGGGGGGGGGGGGGCAGCAGGAAGAUGAAGCAAGCACACAGCCCAUGCUGCUUGCGUGUCAGAGAGCUGUGCUCUAGCAUGCCCUGCCUGCAGUGGCUCAGGCCAGAAGCCAUGUGGCUGCAUUUCCUAAAUCAAAUCUAACUGUUUGUUCACUUCUGUUUCAAUUUAAUCUCUGCAGCUGAGACUAACCUGCAAAGACUGAAUCAAUUCAGCCUCAGGGUUUUGACUGUCUAUACUUAGCACUUUUUCUGUAAAACAGGAUACUCAUGUUUUCAUAUCAGCUAUUGAGGAGGGCUACGCAAGACCUACAUAUUAGUGCUUAGGAAGAGAGAUCAUAAAAUAUGUCUUGGCUGCCUUUAGACAGGGCACAUGUGGAAGUGAGACUAGGAGGAAAAGUGGGGGUUGCAACAAGAUGGUUGUAUGGCCACUCAGAUUCAUUGCAGGUAGAUCACAACGGUUCCAUUUGUAAGCUGUGGGGGGAGAAAAUAAAGGAGAGGCUUUUUGGGCACUUGAAAAACUUUAAGAAAACUAGUUUGAGAGAGACAUCUGAUAUGGCAGGGAGAUGAAGUACUGAGGCAGCAUCCUACAUAAAAGCCUGCAAAAAGUGUGGCAGACUUACCAAUACAGUCUGGCAGGCCUGGGCUUGGAAAAUCUUCGUUGUGAUUGGUGGAGCAUGUCCAACAACCGGCUAAAGCUGGGAAGGGACUUGCUCUGCCUUUGCUAGGGAUGGAGAGCAGAGAGGAGAACCACAGACCUGGUUGUAGCCUGCUUUUUGCAGGUCCAACAACACUCCAGCGUGGAGUCUCUGGAGUGAACAAAAGGAGCUGCGUGCUCAGUACAUGGCAGACGCGUCACACGAUGGAGAGAAGGAUGGGCAAAGAAGAGCUGGUGUGAGCUGGCCAGCGGGCGGAAGAGCCCGAAGAUGCCUUUUUGCAAGCGGGAGCAGUGAGCGGCUACAUCCCUGUCUCCACCACAGGGAAUGCGGUGUCGGUGCACAGAGCAGAGACCCUGGGAGCCAGUCAAGGCAGUUCACAUGUGCAGGCCCUGGUGUGAGGCCAGGGACCCAGUGCAUGGGUUGGUGCACAGAGCCUAGUCCCUGGGAGCUGCACAAGGCAUCUUGGGUCUGCAACCCCUGGCAGGAAGCUGGGAACCCAGAGCUGGCAGUGUGGCAUGGUCCGGUGGGAGCUGCUCAAUGUGGCUCAGGUCCACCCUUUCCUGGCAUAUGGCCAGGACUCCCAUGCAUAACUGGUCCCAGGCGGGGACCCAGGCCUUGGAGCUGCAGAAGGUGGCCUGAGCCUUCAACCGUGAGCGGAAGGCAGGCCCCUCGGUGCAUGGGGCCACCUAUGGGCAUUGGCCCAAGGAGAGCCAAUGGCUUGGGAGGCCCCACAUGUGAGGAGCACCUCCAGUCAAGGGGACGAGGACCAUGCAUUCAUGCCCAUGGAGUUGUGAGUUGUUGGAGAAGGGAUUCCCAGAGGGGAGGGGAGCUACCCCAGCAGUGAAGUAGUUGGUCCUCAGGGAAGCCUGAGCUGAAAGGAGCUCCCAGGAUCUGGAAUUGCCUUUUAGGAAGGCAUCCCUGGGGUUUGCCACAGGCCUGGGGAGCACAAAGGGUUUCUCCUCCCCCAUGGUCAGUCUGGGCUGUGGGUUAAUUAUAGAAUUGAGGUUGACCUGUUGUUAUUGAAGUGCCUUAUAUUUUGUGAGAGAUUGCCUUACAUGCUGUGAACAUCUUAUCUAUGUAUAUCGAUAGUUCAGUAGUGUUAAGAAUACACUUGCAAAAGGACUCUACUGGGACCCAUUCCCUGAUGGUUAUAUAUACUUACUUAUGUAUAUUUGUGUUUUAUCUGUUGUUUAAUUGUAUUUAUAAGUGCUCACCUGUACUUACCUGUUGUUUUGUCUAUUCUAAAAUCAACCGAUUAUCCACACAUUGCUUGGGGCUACCUGAAGGGGUGUAAUCUUUCAGCCGUUAUCUGUAGGACCAUAGUAUUAUAUGAUGAUUGUAUAUUUGUGUGUGUAUGGAUAUAUAUGUUUAUCAAUAUCAAUUCCCUUUAACUUUUUGUAUAUAUGAAUAAAUCUGUAUAUAGUUAA